This 478-nucleotide ribosomal RNA is filed under the name uncultured bacterium. Its description in RNAcentral is "bacterial SSU rRNA". It matches the Rfam family "Bacterial small subunit ribosomal RNA", at positions 32 to 518 of the family's 1533-position model. The record is from RNAcentral.
AACGCUGGCGGCGUGCCUAACACAUGCAAGUCGAACGGAGUUACGAGAGCUUGCUUUGUAACUUAGUGGCGGACGGGUGAGUAAUGUAUGAGCAACCUGCCUUUCAGAGGGGGACAGCAGUUGGAAACGACUGCUAAUACCGCAUAAUGUGCGGGGAGGGCAUCCUCCCUGUACCAAAGGAGCAAUCCGCUGAAAGAUGGGCUCAUAUCUGAUUAGUUAGUUGGCAGGGUAACGGCCUACCCAAGACUGCGAUCAGUAGCCGGACUGAGAGGUUGAACGGCCACAUUGGGACUGAGAUACGGCCCAGACUCCUACGGGAGGCAGCAGUGGGGAAUAUUGGGCAAUGGGCGAAAAAGCCUGACCCAGCAACGCCGCGUGAAGGAAGAAGGUCUUCGGAUUGUAAACUUCUUUUAUGAGGGACGAAGGACGUGACGGUACCUCAUGAAUAAGCCACGGCUAACUACGUGCCAGCCGCGGC